UACGUAGGUGGCAAGCGUUGUCCGGAUUUAUUGGGUUUAAAGGGUGCGUAGGCGGUUUAUUAAGUCAGUCGUUAAAUUACCCAGCUUAACUGGGGGCCUGCGAAUGAUACUGAUAGACUUGAGUACAAAUGAGGUUGGCGGAAUUAAUAGUGUAGCGGUGAAAUGCAUAGAUAUUAUUAAGAACUCCGAUAGCGAAGGCAGCUAACCAAGAUGUAACUGACGCUGAUGCACGAAAGUAUGGGGAUCAAACAGG
Molecule: ribosomal RNA, 253 nt
Filed under: uncultured bacterium
Lineage: Bacteria
Description: partial 16S ribosomal RNA
Rfam family: Bacterial small subunit ribosomal RNA
Source: RNAcentral